Molecule: long non-coding RNA, 216 nt
Filed under: Dermacentor andersoni
Lineage: Eukaryota; Metazoa; Arthropoda; Arachnida; Ixodida; Ixodidae
Description: uncharacterized LOC126533262
Source: RNAcentral
AUUUAUGCGAUGAAUAAACAAAUAGGCACAGAUUAAUUUUCUCUAAAUAAUAAAAAAAAACGUUAAGCCUAUAGCCCAUGAAAAUAUCGUCUCAGCCAGGUCCAAUCAUUUCUCUCGAAAGCGCUGGUUCUGCGCAUAAAUCACUCCCCACGCACGCACUGCACGCAGGCAUGUCGAUUUACGCGAUAAAUAAACGAAUAGGCGCAGAUUAAUUUU